GGGGGUGUAGCUCAGGGGUAGAGCGCUCGCUUCGCAUGCGAGAUGCCCGGGGUUCAAAUCCCCGUUCCUCCA
This 72-nucleotide transfer RNA is filed under the name Hydra vulgaris (swiftwater hydra). It matches the Rfam family "tRNA". From Rfam's summary of the family: Transfer RNA (tRNA) molecules are approximately 80 nucleotides in length. The record is from Rfam by way of RNAcentral. Lineage: Eukaryota; Metazoa; Cnidaria; Hydrozoa; Anthoathecata; Hydridae.